GCCGGCACAUUGUUUCUUCCUUUGGAUUAACCAAUUGCUUUUAAAUUCGUACUCGGUUGUCUUUUCAUCUUCUUUAGAUCCUAACCAGAUUUGUUAGCAUUCAAAUCCGUACUUUUCCCACGCAUUCAAUACCCAGACAUUGUGCGUCUAUGAUUUUCCCAAUUUUCGGGAUUUGCGAAAAAAGCCCAAUGCCUAGUUCUCUUCAUAAGCUCUAUACUGUAAUAAUCAUACCUUUGCUAAUUGGGAUUCGGUACCUUCUAGCUUUGUAUUAUUUUUACUAUUGUUUACCACCCAUGUAGACAAUCACAUAUUAGAAAUUAGUUUAACAAUUCCAAAAAAAAAGAACACUCGUCGCUUAUGUUCACUG
Non-coding RNA from Schizosaccharomyces pombe (fission yeast), 367 nucleotides. NCBI's taxonomy places the organism in Eukaryota, Fungi, Ascomycota, Schizosaccharomycetes, Schizosaccharomycetales, Schizosaccharomycetaceae. The record is from the annotation of a GenBank genome assembly.